UGCACGUGUGCUGUGUGUGGUGUGUAUGCAUGGUGUGCACGUGUGCACUGUGGUGUGUAUGCAUGGUGUGCACGUGUGCACUGUGUGGCGUGUAUGCAUGGUGUGUGCACGUGUGCACUGUGUGGUGUGUAUGCAUGGUGUGUGCACGUGUGCACUGGUGUGUAUGCAUGGUGUGUGCACGUGUGCACUGUGUGUGGUGUGUAUGCAUGGUGUGUGCACGUGUGCACUGUGUGUGGGUGUAUGCAUGGUGUGUGCACGUGUGCACUGUGUGGCGUGUAUGCAUGGUGUGUGCAUGUGUGCACUGUAUGCAUGCAUGUGUGGUGUGUGUGCAUGUGUGCAUGGCGUGUGCAUACGUGUGCAGCAGCACCUGGUCCCGUCUCCAGUGCCCAGCAGCGUCACACGCACUCUGGUGUUUUAUAAAUGCAUGGUCAGUGAGGCUGACAGCAC
Molecule: long non-coding RNA, 447 nt
Filed under: Pan troglodytes (chimpanzee)
Lineage: Eukaryota; Metazoa; Chordata; Mammalia; Primates; Hominidae
Description: long non-coding RNA NONPTRT009666
Source: RNAcentral